This 898-nucleotide ribosomal RNA is filed under the name Bussabanomyces longisporus. RNAcentral's name for it is "LSU rRNA". It matches the Rfam family "Eukaryotic large subunit ribosomal RNA", at positions 37 to 964 of the family's 3401-position model. The record is from RNAcentral. Lineage: Eukaryota; Fungi; Ascomycota; Sordariomycetes; Magnaporthales; Magnaporthaceae.
AGCAUAUCAAUAAGCGGAGGAAAAGAAACCAACAGGGAUUGCCCUAGUAACGGCGAGUGAAGCGGCAACAGCUUCAAAUUUGAAAUCUGGCCCUAGGCCCGAGUUGUAAUUUGUAGAGGAUGCUUUUGGUGACGCGCCUACCGAGUCCCCUGGAAUGGGGCGCCACAGAGGGUGAGAGCCCCGUAUGGUUUGCCGCCGAGCCUCUGUAAAGCUCCUUCGACGAGUCGAGUAGUUUGGGAAUGCUGCUCUAAAUGGGAGGUAAAUUUCUUCUAAAGCUAAAUACCGGCCAGAGACCGAUAGCGCACAAGUAGAGUGAUCGAAAGAUGAAAAGCACUUUGAAAAGAGGGUUAAAUAGCACGUGAAAUUGUUGAAAGGGAAGCGCUUGUGACCAGACUCGCGCCGGGCGGAUCAUCCAGCGUUCUCGCUGGUGCACUCCGCCCGGCUCGGGCCAGCAUCGGUUUUCGCCGGGGGACAAAAGCUUCGGGAACGUGGCUCCCUUCGGGGAGUGUUAUAGCCCGUUGCAUAAUACCCCGGCGGGGACCGAGGACCGCGCUUCGGCAUGGAUGCUGGCGUAAUGGUCAUCAGCGACCCGUCUUGAAACACGGACCGAGGAGUCAAGCAUUAGUGCGAGUGUUUGGGUGUAAAACCCGCACGCGUAAUGAAAGUGAACGUAGGUGAGAGCUUCGGCGCAUCAUCGACCGAUCCUGAUGUUUUCGGAUGGAUUUGAGUAGGAGCAUUAACGCUUGGACCCGAAAGAUGGUGAACUAUACUUGAAUAGGGUGAAGCCAGAGGAAACUCUGGUGGAGGCUCGCAGCGGUUCUGACGUGCAAAUCGAUCGUCAAAUUUGAGUAUAGGGGCGAAAGACUAAUCGAACCAUCUAGUAGCUGGUUACCGCCGA